UACGUAGGGUGCGAGCGUUAAUCGGAAUUACUGGGCGUAAAGCGUGCGCAGGCGGGUAUGCAAGACAGAUGUGAAAUCCCUGGGCUUAACCUAGGAACUGCAUUUGUGACUGGAUAGCUAGAGUGUGGUAGAGGGAGAUGGAAUUCCGCAUGUAGCAGUGAAAUGCGUAGAUAUGCGGAGGAACACCAAUGGCGAAGGCAAUCUCCUGGACCUGCACUGACGCUCAUGCACGAAAGCGUGGGGAGCAAACAGG
Molecule: ribosomal RNA, 253 nt
Filed under: uncultured bacterium
Lineage: Bacteria
Description: partial 16S ribosomal RNA
Rfam family: Bacterial small subunit ribosomal RNA
Source: RNAcentral